Molecule: ribosomal RNA, 266 nt
Filed under: uncultured bacterium
Lineage: Bacteria
Description: partial 16S ribosomal RNA
Rfam family: Bacterial small subunit ribosomal RNA
Source: RNAcentral
GUCCACCCCGUAAACGUUGGGAACUAGUUGUGGGGUCCAUUCCACGGAUUCCGUGACGCAGCUAACGCAUUAAGUUCCCCGCCUGGGGGAGUACGGCCGCAAGGCUAAAAACUCAAAGGAAUUGACGGGGACCCGCACAAGCGGCGGAGCAUGCGGAUUAAUUCGAUGCAACGCGAAGAACCUUACCAAGGCUUGACAUAUACGAGAACGGGCUAGAAAUAGUCAACUCUUUGGACACUCGUAAACAGGUGGUGCAUGGUUGUCGU